This 88-nucleotide transfer RNA is filed under the name Sodalis sp. Fle. RNAcentral describes it as "tRNA-Ser". It matches the Rfam family "tRNA". Rfam says of the family: Transfer RNA (tRNA) molecules are approximately 80 nucleotides in length. Their secondary structure includes four short double-helical elements and three loops (D, anti-codon, and T loops). Lineage: Bacteria; Pseudomonadati; Pseudomonadota; Gammaproteobacteria; Enterobacterales; Bruguierivoracaceae. The record is from RNAcentral.
GGGGGAAUGGCUGAGUGGUUGAAAGCACCGGUUUUGAAAAUCGGGAGUGCAUAAGCGUUCUAGAGUUCGAAUCUCUAUUCCCCCGCCA